GGGUUGUGAGGUUAAGCGACUAAGCGUACACGGUGGAUGCCCUGGCAGUCAGAGGCGAUGAAGGACGUGCUAAUCUGCGAAAAGCGUCGGUAAGGUGAUAUGAACCGUUAUAGCCGGCGAUGUCCGAAUGGGGAAACCCAGUGCAAUUCGUUGCACUAUCGUUAACUGAAUACAUAGGUUAACGAGGCGAACCGGGGGAACUGAAACAUCUAAGUACCCCGAGGAAAAGAAAUCAACCGAGAUUCCCCCAGUAGCGGCGAGCGAACGGGGAGCAGCCCGGAGUCUGAAUCAGCUUGUGUGUUAGUGGAAGCGUCUGGAAAGUCGCAGGGUACAGGGUGAUACUCCCGUACACUAAAACACACAGGUUGUGAACUCGAAGAGUAGGGCGGGACACGUGGUAUCCUGUCUGAAUAUGGGGGGACCAUCCUCCAAGGCU
Molecule: ribosomal RNA, 436 nt
Filed under: Klebsiella michiganensis
Lineage: Bacteria; Pseudomonadati; Pseudomonadota; Gammaproteobacteria; Enterobacterales; Enterobacteriaceae
Description: partial 23S ribosomal RNA
Rfam family: Bacterial large subunit ribosomal RNA
Source: RNAcentral